Molecule: long non-coding RNA, 2478 nt
Organism: Anneissia japonica
Lineage: Eukaryota; Metazoa; Echinodermata; Crinoidea; Comatulida; Comatulidae
Exons: 2
Source: RefSeq, a predicted model, not a curated record
UUUGGAAAAAGGCAUUAACUCCAAAAUCCUGGUUUUGAGUUAUUGAGCAAAACGCGUUUGUCGUUAGCAUUUUGUACUGGAAAUGAAUUCUAGUAAAUUUUUUUGGCAAAUAUACUAAACAUAUAAUUAAAAAACAUAUUAAAUAAUUUUCAUGGUGAUUUUUGUUCUUUAACCUUUUUAAAUGGGGAUAAUGCACUAUUCCAAAUUUUAACAGGAGUCAAUGGUGCGUGAAAAAUCUGAAGUUAGGCAUUAACUCCAGUUUUUUCAGUGAAAUGUGUAUCUUACGUAGCCAAAUUACAGUAUUUCUGACAAACAAAUAAUGUAUGCCAGUGUCAAUUAUAUAUUUCACGAAAUUUAGCCCAUGUGGUAGAAGAUUUUUUAAUAUGCCAUUUUUUUUUUAAACCGAAGUAAAGCUAGGCAUUAUGUGCAUUUACAAGCUAUCAUGACUAAUUAACUAUGCGUAAUUGUCUUCUGUGAUUGGUUCAUUAUGAUCUGUUCAUUGUCUGGUGGAGAUAAUUCCUUCUUCCAAAUUAUUCUGCAUUCAUGGAUUGGAGUUAAUGCGUAAAUAUAAUAUUUAUUUCAUAUUUCUGGACAUUUUUGGGGGUAUAUGAUCAAUUCACAUGAUAGAUUACAUCUAUAGGAUGCCAUAGAAACAAAAAUCCAAAAAUCUCAAAAAGUGGAGUUAAUGCCUUUUUCCAAAUUACGGCAGUAUACUCACUUGUAAGGCCACCCACGUAUAAGACGACUGCCGAGUUUGAGAACAUUUUUGGACGAUUUUUAUAUUUCGGAAGUAGGAUGACCGCAGGCGCGGAUGAUCCAGGAUUUUCCAUGACCUUCGCACAGAUAGGGUGGUCAUUGCAGUGGUGGAUACAGAAUUGGUAUGUUAACAUUGCAAUUAAUUAUGUUUGAAGUAUGACUGACCAAUCUAAUUUGAACUACCAGAAUUGAAAGCAAAGCUUCUUAUUGCAUUUGAUGAGAAUUCUUAUGAAAUUGUAUCUUUUUAUGUAAUGUUUAAUAAUGAUUUAUUGUAGUGAAAUUAAAUUAAAUUUAAUGCAUUAAAUUUUACUUAAGAAUAAUAAUGUUCCGCUAGUGUACGAUGCAUGCUCUACUAAUUGCUUUAUAAGUCAAUCGCCUUCUUUUAAUGUUAGGUUUGAUAACCAAAUUUUCAGCAUACUGUGUGCGUUUUUAUAUCUAUCUGUACGUAUGUUGAUUUGUGCUCCUGCAGUAUUCGUUAACUGCAGUACAGAUACGAUGAGUAACUAUAAUUUAUAUUGUGAUAGAAGAACUUGUUUGUAAUGUUAUUUUGAUACAUUCGUCAAAGAAAUAAACCGUUUUUAAAGCAUUCGAGAGAGAUUACAGUCAUGAACUUUUUGGUCUGUGUAUGCAGGUAAAAAUAGUGCGAUGAUUUCAUAACUACGCUAUGUUAUGGCCUAGCCUAGUAAUUGGAGGAGGAGGUCUCGGCGGCCUCCUGCAUGGCUAGUCCUACAUCUAAUUUCGUUCAUCGGAGUCUUUAAAAUAGUUAUAGAAUAUUCCUAUUAAACGUUCAGUUUGUUUAGUUUAUUAGGGUUCAUUUAUUCAUUGAAUUACCUAAUUGUUCAUAAUUAAUAUUGAAUUUGAAGUAACUUUUUUUGGGUUAUAAUUAAAAAUCACGAAAUAGUUUUAAAUUACAAUUCAAUUUUCAUUGCGGUGCGCGAUAUCUUCGCAGUUAAGACAAAAUUAAGUAUAUUUUUUUGCAUACGAACUUAAAAAAAGUCAAGCCAAGCGUCAACUAAUUGAAAAAUUAUGACGUCACGAUUGACUUAUAAAAACUUUUAGUUACACAUUUGCUUUUAUAUGCUACUUACUAAAAUACUUUUUUUACUAAUAUAAUGUAGGUAGGCCUACUGUUGUUAUUACUUGAAUUUUUUAUUUAACACCGAGGGCCGCACCUAAACUUUGAUGUUUCCAGUGAGCUUCCAAAAACCUCCAAGCACUGCUUUUACAUCACUUUAUUUUCAGUUUCGAUGUUACAUUUUAGGUAUGAUUGGUGUCGGACCGUAAAAAAACAAGGUGUUUUCCAUACAAUUUUGAUUGGCGGGCCGCAAACAUAAGGUUUUUAAUUCAUUGUCGCGGGCCGCAAAAAAAUCGCUGACGGGCCACACUUUGUCCACCUGUGGCCUAGAGUAUUAGAUGGUCGAGCAAUUGCUGUAGUUUAAGUUAGCGAUUAUCUAAUUCAACCUUAGAUGCAAGUUUUAGAGGGUUAUGGAAUUUAAGGAUAGCUGCUAAGGAGUAUGUAUUAGGUCGGACAAGCCCGAUGAAGUCGACUAGUCUGUGAGUUCAUUUAUUUCAACAAAAUAAUGCACCAUUAUUUUAUAUGUUUAAAUCGUAAGUGUUGAAAUGUACACUUCAAGAAUCAGUCAUUAUUUCAUUAUAUUUCUUUGUUAUUACAGUUUUUACCCGUUUGAUUGGCAUGAUAAUAAACAUACGUACAAUUUCAAA